Molecule: transfer RNA, 76 nt
Filed under: Rhodopseudomonas palustris
Lineage: Bacteria; Pseudomonadati; Pseudomonadota; Alphaproteobacteria; Hyphomicrobiales; Nitrobacteraceae
Description: tRNA-Met
Rfam family: tRNA
About the family: Transfer RNA (tRNA) molecules are approximately 80 nucleotides in length. Their secondary structure includes four short double-helical elements and three loops (D, anti-codon, and T loops).
Source: RNAcentral
CGCGGGGUGGAGCAGCCCGGUAGCUCGUCAGGCUCAUAACCUGAAGGUCAUAGGUUCAAAUCCUAUCCCGCAACCA